RNAcentral lists this ribosomal RNA (498 nucleotides) under uncultured bacterium. RNAcentral describes it as "partial 16S ribosomal RNA". It matches the Rfam family "Bacterial small subunit ribosomal RNA", at positions 30 to 523 of the family's 1533-position model. The record is from RNAcentral.
AUUGAACGCUGGCGGCAUGCCUUACACAUGCAAGUCGAACGGUAACAGGUCUUCGGAUGCUGACGAGUGGCGAACGGGUGAGUAAUACAUCGGAACGUGCCCAGUAAUGGGGGAUAGCCCGGCGAAAGCCGGAUUAAUACCGCAUACGCCCUGAGGGGGAAAGUGGGGGACCGCAAGGCCUCACGUUAUUGGAGCGGCCGAUGGCUGUUUAGCUAGUUGGUGAGGUAAAGGCUCACCAAGGCGAUGAUCAGCAGCUGGUCUGAGAGGACGAUCAGCCACACUGGGACUGAGACACGGCCCAGACUCCUACGGGAGGCAGCAGUGGGGAAUUUUGGACAAUGGGGGCAACCCUGAUCCAGCAAUGCCGCGUGUGCGAAGAAGGCCUUCGGGUUGUAAAGCACUUUUGUCAGGGAAGAAAUCCUUUAGGCUAAUACCCUAGGGGGAUGACGGUACCUGAAGAAUAAGCACCGGCUAACUACGUGCCAGCCGCCGCAGUAA